Molecule: non-coding RNA, 390 nt
Organism: Macaca mulatta (Rhesus monkey)
Lineage: Eukaryota; Metazoa; Chordata; Mammalia; Primates; Cercopithecidae
Source: RefSeq, a predicted model, not a curated record
CAGCGUCGUCCUCCCCACUCCUCCGCACCCCGCCAGUCCCCUCGUCCCCGCCCCGCCGUCUCCUGGCGCCGGCGUAACCGCUCGUCCCACCUCCCUCCCAGCCAAUCGCUCUUCUCCUCCGCUCGGGGACGCUUCCCCGGGGAAUCCUGUGGCCGGAGAUGCUCGGUCGAGUCGCGGCCCUUGUCGCAGUCAAACUUGAAUGCGUUUGUGAAUCACCUGAGGACCUUGCUACAACACAGAUGCGAAUUCACUUGGUCCAGGGUGGGUUCCCAAGUUUCUAACGAGCGUCCGUGAUACUCUGCUGCUCCCCACCUGCCGGUGGAUCUGCGAGGGCCUUUGACUUACAAAGGGUCCAACAUGCAGAUAAUAUAGAAUAGUUUAUUUUUCCUA